AUCGGUUCGCUGAAAGACGCGAUUAAAAUGGGAAAGCGGUGAGAAUCCGCUACUGUCCCGCAGCUGUAUGUUGCAAGACGAGGAGGCCAAAGCCACUGGUCGUCCCGCUCCGCUCCUCUUGUGGAGGAGCUAUCGAGGACGAUGGGGAAGGCGUUUGGCCAUUAUAGGCAACGAGUCAGAAGACCUGCCAUUGCG
This 195-nucleotide non-coding RNA is filed under the name uncultured Prevotella sp. The record is from RNAcentral. Lineage: Bacteria; Pseudomonadati; Bacteroidota; Bacteroidia; Bacteroidales; Prevotellaceae.